AUACAUAAAAAUAAAAAACGCUUAUUCCUUGUAGCGUUUAUCUCCGAAAUUGUAGGGACGAAUCCGUCGUGAAUAGCAUUUUCUCUUGAAUCAGAUCAGUCAGAAUUGAGGCAGAGAGAGAAAGGGGAUGGCGAUACUUUACGCGCUGGUGGCGCGUGGCUCGGUUGUGCUGGCGGAAUUCAGCGCUACUUCCACCACGGCGAACGCGAUCGCGCGUCAAAUUCUCGAGAAAAUCCCCGGUAACAACGAUAACAACGCCUCCUACUCGCAGGAUCGCUACAUUUUUCACGUCAAGCGCACCGAUGGCCUCACCGUCCUUUGUAUGGCCGACGACACUGCCGGAAGGAGAAUUCCUUUUGCAUUUCUGGAAGAAAUUCAUCAGAGAUUUGUGCGAACCUAUGGUCGAGCUGUAUUGUCUGCACAGCCAUAUGCAAUGAAUGAUGAUUUUUCAAGGGUCCUCAGCCAACAAAUCGAGUAUUUCUCAAGUGAUCCUAAUGCUGACAGGAUAAACCGGCUCAAAGGUGAAAUGAGCCAGGUUCGGAAUGUCAUGAUUGAGAACAUUGAUAAAGUUUUGGAUAGAGGUGACCGGCUAGAAUUAUUGGUUGAUAAAACUGCCACUAUGCAAGGGAACACUUUUCGCUUCAGAAAGCAAGCUCGCCGUUUUAGAAACACUGUAUGGUGGAGAAAUGUCAAGCUUACGAUUGCAUUGAUAUUCCUUCUCCUGGUAAUAAUCUAUGUCGUUUUGGCUUUUGUUUGCCACGGACCCACUCUUCCGUCUUGCUUGUAAUGAGAUCUGCUCGUGACAUCUGGAUGCUAUUUCUCUUUCUUCUGUUAAGUGUACGCUCAGUUCUUUCACUUCAUAUCUCCCUGAGAUGUCUGAAGAAGUUGUUGGUUUUAUACUUUCAUUCUUGGUUUGAGAUUUAGUCGUGUGUAAAGCUGUCUCUGUAGGGCACCAGCUCUAUCUAGAUAUUGCACAAGAGCAUGCCAGAACUUCCCUCUCCAUCUGCUCUGGAAGACAGUCCUGGUACUACCCUGAGGUAAUUGCUGUAACUUCACGCCCUAACCCUCGAAUGAUAUUUUCAUUGCUGCUUUCACUUCAACGAUAAAAUGCCAGCUGGCUCGACUAUGAAACUGAAUCUAUGUGCCUUACUGUUGGAUCAUUGGCCACUCAUAGUGGUAUCAGAUAUCCUUCCUAGAGGUAGAAUAGAUUUUAGACCCCACAAAAACGAGUGAAAUAGGUGCAUUUCUAUACCCUAGCUUUUGGAUUCUUUCCAUUUGAUUGUUACUCUAAUCUUGAUAGAUAUAGUUUACACUAGAAAUAAAAAACAGUCACAUGUUGCUGAAUCAUUGGUCCAGAUUUGCCUUUAGCAUGUGUUUUCCAGAUUGAGGGGCCCUUCAUGUCUUAACCAAAACAUAACAUCCCAUGCUUAAUAGUAUUGUACAU
Molecule: RNA transcript, 1444 nt
Organism: Salvia hispanica
Lineage: Eukaryota; Viridiplantae; Streptophyta; Magnoliopsida; Lamiales; Lamiaceae
Gene name: vesicle-associated membrane protein 711
Source: RefSeq, a predicted model, not a curated record